Molecule: unclassified non-coding RNA, 253 nt
Filed under: fungal sp.
Lineage: Eukaryota; Fungi
Description: partial internal transcribed spacer region
Rfam family: Eukaryotic small subunit ribosomal RNA (bases 1-45)
Source: RNAcentral
AGUCGUAACAAGGUUUCCGUAGGUGAACCUGCGGAAGGAUCAUUAACAAAUCCGUGGUGGGGGUGUUAGUGUUGUGUCUGAAGAGAUGCGAUGCGCGCCGCCACGACAUGAACCGGAUCUCCGAGAGGAGAUUCGCCUGUGGACACUGCUGGCGUGUGCCGGUGGUGCCUGCAGAAAUAGGCUAUGCUUGUGUGUCUUAUAACAAAGUAAUAUCAAUCAUAAACAACUUUUAACAAUGGAUCUCUUGGCUCUU